Drosophila serrata is the source of this 484-nucleotide long non-coding RNA. Lineage: Eukaryota; Metazoa; Arthropoda; Insecta; Diptera; Drosophilidae. The record is from RefSeq and is a predicted model, not a curated record.
GCCAAACGAGGCGGUUGUUUACCUGGCAUUAAUUCCAAACAUUUUGCUAGAUCAAGCGCGAACCUAGAAACAACACACACAUCUCUUUUUUUCACCUGUUCACCCUUUUUGUUAUUUUUUUUUUAUCUGUUGUUUGAGUUCGCGAGUUUUUCACGUAGAAGAAAUGACAAUUUAUGGACUGUUGGUGCAGAUCAUCAUAGUUUGUAAUUAAACAAGGAAGAGCGGAGCAGAUCCAAGCCCCAGCAUGGCACCGCCCCAAGAACAACCCGAGGACGAUAUUAUCACCAAGAUACCUUCGAUAAUUGGAUUCCUGAACUUGGACUGACGAAAUGGAGCGACAAUGAGCUGACCCCGAGAGUCGAGGCUGAAGCGCAGCAUCAACAGAAUUAUGAUUAUAUUUAUUAUUUUCACUCUAGAUAAAGAUCUAGAUAAAGUUAAGAACUGAACCUGGGAUCAAGACAAAUAAACGAGCAAUGUGAUCGAA